AUCCGGCUGACGAGUCCUGAAUAGAACAAAACGUGCGUCCUCGAU
Molecule: non-coding RNA, 45 nt
Organism: Schistosoma rodhaini
Lineage: Eukaryota; Metazoa; Platyhelminthes; Trematoda; Strigeidida; Schistosomatidae
Source: Rfam